Molecule: long non-coding RNA, 645 nt
Filed under: Corvus moneduloides (New Caledonian crow)
Lineage: Eukaryota; Metazoa; Chordata; Aves; Passeriformes; Corvidae
Description: lncRNA (ENSCMUG00000018520.1)
Source: RNAcentral
GGGGACCUUCAUAGAGGAAGGAUCGGAUGAUGAGGUCUUUUUGGUGGAAGAAAGACAGCUUGAACUGAAGGCAAAUUUGGGCUUAGCUACUGGUACCAGGCAUGUUCCUGUAGUGAAACAAGCUCAGGUGCACUGCAUUUUCCUCUGCCUUCAGCUGAAGGCGAGCACUUCUUGCACCGCUGUAUUUCUAGGCCAGAAGAGCAGCCCAGUUUGGUGAGCCGGCAUUUCCCUGCAGCAGGAUGUGCCUUAGAGUCAAGAUGACAUCAUGCUGCACUCUGGCUGAAAAGACAUCCCAGUGCCUGGAGCAACACAGUCCUUUCUGUCCAUUACUGCUGGAAAUUCUGCCAGGGAAUUUCACUUUUAGAAUACAAAUAACUGCAGCCUUCAGUGCCUUUGAAGGGGACGGCCUUGCUGCUCUUCCCUUGCUCUUUUAUGGACUUACUUGGCAGAUGAAAGUUAUCUCCAUCAAGGAAAUAGUCUUGGGUUUGGCCACUUUUGAUUUGUAAUGUAUUUGAUAUUGUUUAUAACACUGCUAAAUAAACAGAAUGAUUACCAUGGAUUUGACUCCCUCUAAAACAGAAGGAAAUACUGUGUUACAUGGAAAUACAUGUAAUUUACGUUUAAUAAUUAGUACUUAUUAUGCAG